Molecule: long non-coding RNA, 2296 nt
Organism: Hemibagrus wyckioides
Lineage: Eukaryota; Metazoa; Chordata; Actinopteri; Siluriformes; Bagridae
Exons: 3
Source: RefSeq, a predicted model, not a curated record
GCGCUUUCGCUGGCAGAAGUGUAAAUCAGCCCUAAAUUGUAGUAAAUGUGUGUGGGUAAAAUUUUCUUACGUUGUCCUUCAUGCUGAAAAGGUGUCUUUUGUUAUCCCGGGCUUUGAGACGUCGUCGUUUUCUUUUCUGCCGCUGUGCUUCGGCUCAAAGGACUUCGCUCCUAUCGCUGUAGUGCAAGGCGGCAGAGAAAGCCUUUCAAGCGCCACACAAAGACACACAAGAAAAAGAAACACACACACACACACACACACUCGUGUCCUGGCACAGCUGCUCGCUCAGUGAAAGACCUCAGGUCUCUGGGCUCCUCUUUUGGAAACACAGGCUCCUCAUUAAUCUGCCUUUGUCGGCUGUGUAGCGCUGACUAAUUAAAGCCUCUGUUAACCUUUGUGUUGGCUCGACUUCAACCCUGCUGAUGUUCCACCAACACCAGCUCCUUCUGCUCCUUCUGCUCCAGAACAAUCCUCGCCAAAACAAAGAACCAGCAUUAACUUCAGCAAUUUGAGCAACAGUAGCUCGUCUUUUGGAUCGGAUCACACGGGCCAGCCUUAGCUCCACACGUCCAUCAAUGAGCCUCGGCCACCCAUGACCCUGUCGCUGGUUCACCACUGUUCCUCCCUUGACCACUUUUAGAUAGAUACUGACCACUGCAGACUGGGAACACCCUACAAGAGCUGCAGUUUUGGAGAUGCUCUGAUCCAUUUUUCCUGCUUCUAACACAUCAACUUUGAGGACAAAAUGUUCAUUUGUGGCCUAAUAUAUGUGUGUGUAUAUAUAUAUAUGUAUGUAUAGAGUGAGUGAGAGAGAGAGAGAGAGAGAGAGAGAGAGAUGUAUAUACAUAUGUAUAUGUAUGUAUAUAUGAAUGUACAGAGAAUAUAUAUACAGUGAUAUAUUGCAGUUUAAUUGGGUUUAUCAGUGGGAAAUGGAUAAACUCCUGACCAAUCAGCAUCCAGAAUUCAACAGCGCUCUGGUAUGAAGGCGUAAAACCCAUGGACAGAAUGUAAAAGCUGGCAAAAAGGUUGAUUCUGCUUAAUCCCAGCACAUCAGCGUUGAUUAUUUUCUUCUAACAACACAACAAUGUCCUUAAUAUUCGUAAAAGUACUUGGAACUCUGUCUUAUACAGAAACCCACUUUUAUAGAAACCUCCUGUUUUUAUUGUGUCCAUGUUGAUGAUUGAGGGUCUUUGUCAUGAUCCACAAAAGUAGACACUCAGGACUUUAAGAAUUUGUAGUGUUUCAGAAGGAUUUCUGUUUUUCUCUAAGACUACUAGUUGCAAUAUUUUCAUAGAAAAGUUCCCAAAAAAAAAAAAAAAAAACCAGUUCGUUUUUUCCACACAAAUGUGUCAAGAAACAGACUCUCAGACUCUCAGACUCUCAGGGGCUAGAUGCAAAUGCAGGAAGAGUUUAUUAACAUAAACAGGAGACAGAAAGUGAAAAACAGAACAGUCGCAGAACGUGGGUGCUGGAAAAAGGUGUGGGGACAAUCACAAAAAAAAAGAAGAAGUGCAAAACAAAAAAAACAAAAGUCACAAAAAAGGGAUAGGCAAAAGUAUCGGAACAGAUGAAGACAAGGCUGAAUAGAAGGCGUACCAAAAGGGUGCAGAGUAAAGGUUCUAACAACCCAAAGUCCAGUGAGUGAGAAGGAGGAGAGCUGCUGGUUUCUGGGAGUUGGAGUCUGUGGAAUAUUUUUCCUUUCCUUUCCUUUUCAUCCCGUUAAUGUACUUUACUUUUCCCUUCCUUUUUUACUUUACAUUUCAUUCUAUCUUCCCUUUUCCUUUUCCUUUUCAAUUCAUUUCCUUUCUCUUUUUUUAUUUGUUUCUUGUUCUUUCCUUUCCUUUCCUUUCCUUUCCUUUCCUUUCCUUUCCUUUCCUUUUUCCUUCCCUUUCCUUUCCUUCCCUUCUCUUCUAUUUCAUUUUUUCUUUCCUUUUCCCACUCCUUUUCAAUUUGCUUUUCCCUGUCAUUUCCUUUCCUUUCUUUUUUUCCUGUCCUUUUCCCUUUUUCCUUUCCUCUACUUUCCCUUUCUUUUUUUGUUCUUCAACCAAAUGUAGACCACUAAAAUUUUUGAUUUUGUUAUUUGAUUAUUAUUAUUUUUUUUGGUUUAAAAGUGAUUAGUUUCAGCAUUCGUUAACUAGCACACGUUACUUCAGAUUGAAUUCUCUUGUAAAUAAUCCCACAUGUACUAUGCGCUGCAUGGAAGAAGAAGAAGAAGGAGGAGGAGGAGGAGGAGAAGAAGAAGAAGAAGAAUAGCAGCUUUUUAAAGGAUGUCUUCUGAUUAAAUAUCUGCAUAAAA